Molecule: ribosomal RNA, 253 nt
Filed under: uncultured bacterium
Lineage: Bacteria
Description: partial 16S ribosomal RNA
Rfam family: Bacterial small subunit ribosomal RNA
Source: RNAcentral
UACGGAGGGGGCUAGCGUUGUUCGGAAUUACUGGGCGUAAAGCGCACGUAGGCGGCUUUGCAAGUUAGAGGUGAAAGCCCGGAGCUCAACUCCGGAACUGCCAUUGAAACUGUUUAGCUUGAGGAUGAGAGAGGUGAGUGGAAUUCCCAGUGUAGAGGUGAAAUUCGUAGAUAUUGGGAAGAACACCGGUGGCGAAGGCGGCUCACUGGCUCAUUACUGACGCUCAGGCGCGAUAGCGUGGGGAUCAAACAGG